GACGAACGCUGGCGGCGUGCUUAACACAUGCAAGUCGAACGGUGAAGCGCCUUCCUUUUUGGUGGGUGUGGAUGAGUGGCGAACGGGUGAGUAACACGUGAGUAACCUGCCCCCUUCUUCUGGAUAACCGCAUGAAAGUGUGGCUAAUACGGGAUAUUCUGGGUCUGUCGCAUGAUGGGUCUGGGAAAGAUAUUGUUUCGGUGGGGGAUGGGCUCGCGGCCUAUCAGCUUGUUGGUGGGGUGAUGGCCUACCAAGGCGGUGACGGGUAGCCGGCCUGAGAGGGUGGACGGUCACACUGGGACUGCGACACGGCCAAGACUCCUACGGGAGGCAGCAGGGGGGAAUAUUGAACAAUGGGCGCAAGCCUGAUGCAGCGACGCCGCGUGAGGGAUGGAGGCCUUCGGGUUGUGAACCUCUUUCGCCAGUGAAGCAGGCCUGCCUCGUUUGUGGGUGGGUUGACGGUAGCUGGAUAAGAAGCGCCGGCUAACUACGUG
Molecule: ribosomal RNA, 494 nt
Filed under: uncultured bacterium
Lineage: Bacteria
Description: partial 16S ribosomal RNA
Rfam family: Bacterial small subunit ribosomal RNA
Source: RNAcentral